Long non-coding RNA from Esox lucius (northern pike), 567 nucleotides. RefSeq lists it as uncharacterized. The record is from RefSeq and is a predicted model, not a curated record. Lineage: Eukaryota; Metazoa; Chordata; Actinopteri; Esociformes; Esocidae. The transcript has 3 exons.
AAGAGUGAGAGGUAGGGGUAGAGCUGGCAAAGGAGUUCUUGGCCAAAGAAGACAACAACUUUCAAAUGAAAUCAAAGCAACAUUAGUUGAUCAUGUCAUCAACCAUGGGCUGACAAUGCCAGAGGCUGGACAGAGAAUGCAGACCAACCUGAGCCGUUUUACUGUCGCCUGUGUCAUCUGGACCUUUAGACUGGAGUACAGGAUUGAGAGACGCAACUCUGGUGGAGGAAGGGCCAAAUGUUCAUCGGGGUACAGGAAGCUGCCAUUGUAAACUUGGUUUUAGAAAAUAAUGACAUCCGAUCAAGAGAAAUUCAAAGCCACAUGAAACCAAAUCAGAAUGAAACAACUUUAUAAGGUGCCGUUUGAGAGAAACUGUCAAAGAAACAAAGAGGAUAUGUGGAUUGAGUACUGGAAAUGGAUGCUCAUGCAAUCCCACAUGAGUUUAUCUUUGUAGAAGAGGCUGGGUUCAACCUAGCAAAGACCAGAAGAAGGGGGAAAAACGUCAUAUUCACCAUACAACACAGCCCAUAUUCACCAUACAACACAGCCCAUAUUCACCAUACAACA